Pelobates cultripes (western spadefoot toad) is the source of this 214-nucleotide non-coding RNA. The record is from the annotation of a GenBank genome assembly. NCBI's taxonomy places the organism in Eukaryota, Metazoa, Chordata, Amphibia, Anura, Pelobatidae.
GGAGAAAGCCCAUCGGGCGCACCUGAAACCAUUCCCACCCACUGGCACCUUUCAUAUGCACGCCAAAAACCUGGCACCACGGCCGGAAUAACUCUGUAUGUCUAUAUAUACCCAGGAGUACAAUAGCUCACUAGCCACCCACAGGGACGAGCGUUCCUAAUGUGCGUUCCUAAUGAUGCACUCUAGUGGCAUCGCAUCCCUAACGGGAAACCAC